Molecule: unclassified non-coding RNA, 290 nt
Filed under: Cystolepiota sp.
Lineage: Eukaryota; Fungi; Basidiomycota; Agaricomycetes; Agaricales; Agaricaceae
Description: partial internal transcribed spacer region
Rfam family: Eukaryotic small subunit ribosomal RNA (bases 1-46)
Source: RNAcentral
AAGUCGUAACAAGGUUUCCGUAGGUGAACCUGCGGAAGGAUCAUUAAUGAAUAAACCUAGUGGGUUGUAGCUGGCUCUUAGGAGCAUGUGCACGCUCAUUACUUUUAUCUCUCCACCUGUGCACAAUCUGUAGUCUUGAGGGAGAUGAGAGCAAAUCAGUAUUGGUUUGUGACUUUCUCUCGAGUCUAUGUGUUUUCAUACACUACAUAGUAUGUUAUUGAAUGUAUAUCAUGGGUCUUUGUGCCUAUAAAAACGUUAUACAACUUUCAGCAACGGAUCUCUUGGCUCUC